UUACCCCAAUGUUCCCCAUGUUUUCGCGUCCGGUUGUCAUCGAAAAUUAAAGUGUUGUUUGUGUGAUUAGUGUGCGACGAAGAUGAAGUUUCCGGCCGAGGAGGUUCCAUCUAGGCGGUUCCAUCUGGUCGAGGAUGGCGAGGACAAAUAUGCUGCGCUGGGCAAGCAACCCGAGAGCACAUGCAUCACGAAAUCGAUCGGCUGUUGAAGAGAUCUGAACAAACCCUGGUCAACAUCCUGUUGGCCAACAACUACCAUCAACCGGACCUUUCCGAAGUUUUCUUCUGGUGGCCGAGGGCAUCUACAUAGAGAUGUUGCCGAAUUUCGGCCGGAGCAUGGUUGCCGACCGGAACUUCAAAACGGGUGACGUACUUUCGGACGCUAGGUGCAUUCCUCUUGGGCUGGGAUGCGGCACCAAUAAGAUGAACCGUGCGAUCCUUUUCAACUUGAGCUUCUGUGAAGGUUUCCGGCAGCAGUGGCAGUAACUACUUCAAUACGGCAUUACAAUUCACAGGACAACGAACAGCACCAUAGCAA
Molecule: long non-coding RNA, 537 nt
Organism: Culex quinquefasciatus (southern house mosquito)
Lineage: Eukaryota; Metazoa; Arthropoda; Insecta; Diptera; Culicidae
Exons: 3
Source: RefSeq, a predicted model, not a curated record